UACAGAGGUCUCAAGCGUUGUUCGGAUUCAUUGGGCGUAAAGGGUGCGUAGGCGGCGCGGUAAGUCGGGUGUGAAAUCUCGGGGCUUAACUCCGAAACUGCAUUCGAUACUGCCGUGCUUGAGGACUGGAGAGGAGACUGGAAUUUACGGUGUAGCGGUGAAAUGCGCAGAUAUCGGGAAGAACACCCGUGGCGAAGGCGGCUCUCUGGAACGCAACUGACGCUGAGACGCGAAAGCGUGGGGAGCAACAGG
This 252-nucleotide ribosomal RNA is filed under the name uncultured bacterium. Its description in RNAcentral is "partial 16S ribosomal RNA". It matches the Rfam family "Bacterial small subunit ribosomal RNA", at positions 524 to 775 of the family's 1533-position model. The record is from RNAcentral.